Molecule: long non-coding RNA, 812 nt
Filed under: Dasypus novemcinctus (nine-banded armadillo)
Lineage: Eukaryota; Metazoa; Chordata; Mammalia; Cingulata; Dasypodidae
Description: lncRNA (ENSDNOG00000051417.1)
Source: RNAcentral
GGCAAAUUAAAGAUAAUUUUAAUUUUAAGUUACAUCAGAGUGAACACUGAUCUAUGUUGUUACUUAGCAAUACCUAACAAUAGCCAGAUUAGUGUUGGUAAGUGAGAGCCGAUACUAUUGGUUCCAAGCAUAAUCUCCAACCCUGCCACAUGGGCAUUCCAUUCAGGUGCCCAGUGUGCCAGCACUGUGGUGGCCAGUGUCAGGUUGGCUGAAAUCAGCAGGCCAAAUCACUUUUUCUACUUGGUUGUUUAGUGGUUUUUCCAUGUGGAUACAUUUGGGUGAACACUAAUAUGUAAUAAAAAGAUCUUCCCAGAGCAGAAAUGUCUUUUGGUGCUGCUACUGUGUUAAUACAACUUUAGUUCAAUGAACUUGCCCUGUACCCUGCCCCCCCCCUCCAAAAAAAAGAUGUUCCCACUUUGUGCUUUGUUUCUUACCAGGUCCAGUAGCAUGCCCAUCAGUAUGUUUUAGAAAAGGUUUAUAAUUCUCUACUGCAAAUGACAUGCCUUUGCACAAAAGGAGAUGAAAAUAUAGAUAGGUGCAUGUCCAGGCAAGAAGAAGAGGAGAACACAGAUUUGGUCGUUUCAAAAGAGGAGACUGGUGAUUUGUGAACUCUCUUCCAACCCCAACAUUGGGUUCCAGUGAGGUUUAGUACCUAGUGACAAGACUUGAACGCAGUUCUCAGAAUUGUGCAUUAUUUCAGGGCAGGUCUGACAAGGUAAUUUGAUGUGCCAGUGUUGUGGCUCUAACACUAGUAAAAAAAAAUGCCAUUCACCUUACUGAUAUUAUUCUUGAAAACUUUAGUCUGCGAUGAC